RNAcentral lists this ribosomal RNA (468 nucleotides) under uncultured bacterium. Its description in RNAcentral is "partial 16S ribosomal RNA". It matches the Rfam family "Bacterial small subunit ribosomal RNA", at positions 28 to 507 of the family's 1533-position model. The record is from RNAcentral.
GACGAACGCUGGCGGCGUGCUUAACGCAUGCAAGUCGAACGGAAAGGCCCUGCUUUUGUGGGGUGCUCGAGUGGCGAACGGGUGAGUAACACGUGAGUAACCUGCCCUUGACUUUGGGAUAACUUCAGGAAACUGGGGCUAAUACCGGAUAGGAGCUCCCGCUGCAUGGUGGGGGUUGGAAAGUUUCGGCGGUUGGGGAUGGACUCGCGGCUUAUCAGCUUGUUGGUGGGGUAGUGGCUUACCAAGGCUUUGACGGGUAGCCGGCCUGAGAGGGUGACCGGCCACAUUGGGACUGAGAUACGGCCCAGACUCCUACGGGAGGCAGUAGUGGGGAAUAUUGCACAAUGGGCGGAAGCCUGAUGCAGCAACGCCGCGGGCGGGAUGACGGACUUCGGGUUGUAAACCGCUUUCGCCUGUGACGAAGCGUGAGUGACGGUAAUGGGUAAAGAAGCACCGGCUAACUACGUG